This 75-nucleotide transfer RNA is filed under the name Eubacteriales bacterium SKADARSKE-1. RNAcentral describes it as "tRNA-Gln". It matches the Rfam family "tRNA". From Rfam's summary of the family: Transfer RNA (tRNA) molecules are approximately 80 nucleotides in length. The record is from RNAcentral. Lineage: Bacteria; Bacillati; Bacillota; Clostridia; Eubacteriales.
UGGGGUGUAGCCAAGCGGUAAGGCAACGGACUUUGACUCCGUCACUCGCUGGUUCAAAUCCAGCCAUCCCAGCCA